This 253-nucleotide ribosomal RNA is filed under the name uncultured bacterium. Its description in RNAcentral is "partial 16S ribosomal RNA". It matches the Rfam family "Bacterial small subunit ribosomal RNA", at positions 524 to 776 of the family's 1533-position model. The record is from RNAcentral.
UACGUAGGGUGCGAGCGUUAAUCGGAAUUACUGGGCGUAAAGCGUGCGCAGGCGGUUCGUUGUGUCGGCGGUGAAAGCCCCGGGCUUAACCUGGGAAUGGCCGUUGAAACUGGCGAACUGGAGUGUGGCAGAGGGGGGUGGAAUUCCGCGUGUAGCAGUGAAAUGCGUAGAGAUGCGGAGGAACACCGAUGGCGAAGGCAGCCCCCUGGGCUAGCACUGACGCUCAGGCACGAAAGCGUGGGGAGCAAACAGG